UACGUAGGUGGCAAGCGUUGUCCGGAAUUAUUGGGCGUAAAGCGCGCGCAGGCGGUCCUUUAAGUCUGAUGUGAAAGCCCACGGCUCAACCGUGGAGGGUCAUUGGAAACUGGGGGACUUGAGUGCAGGAGAGAAAAGUGGAAUUCCACGUGUAGCGGUGAAAUGCGUAGAGAUGUGGAGGAACACCAGUGGCGAAGGCGACUUUUUGGCCUGUAACUGACACUGAGGCGCGAAAGCGUCGGGAGCAAACAGG
This 253-nucleotide ribosomal RNA is filed under the name uncultured bacterium. RNAcentral's name for it is "partial 16S ribosomal RNA". It matches the Rfam family "Bacterial small subunit ribosomal RNA", at positions 524 to 776 of the family's 1533-position model. The record is from RNAcentral.